RNAcentral lists this ribosomal RNA (256 nucleotides) under uncultured bacterium. Its description in RNAcentral is "partial 16S ribosomal RNA". It matches the Rfam family "Bacterial small subunit ribosomal RNA", at positions 524 to 776 of the family's 1533-position model. The record is from RNAcentral.
UACGUAGGGUGCGAGCGUUUGUCCGGAAUUAUUGGGCGUAAAGAGCUCGUAGGCGGUUUGUUGCGUCGGCUGUGAAAUCCCGAGGCUCAACCUCGGGUCUGCAGUCGAUACGAGCAAACUAGAGUGUUGCAGGGGAGACUGGAAUUCCUGGUGUAGCGGUGAAAUGCGCAGAUAUCAGGAGGAACACCGGUGGCGAAGGCGGGUCUCUGGGCCGAUACUGACGCUGGAGGAGCGAAAGCCGUGGGGAGCGAACAGG